This 254-nucleotide long non-coding RNA is filed under the name Junco hyemalis (dark-eyed junco). Its description in RNAcentral is "lncRNA (ENSJHYG00000016599.1)". Lineage: Eukaryota; Metazoa; Chordata; Aves; Passeriformes; Passerellidae. The record is from RNAcentral.
CUGGAAUCAGCACGAGUGCCUUAUGCAGGAUCCUCAUCACCUUGCUGGGCUUUGCCUCCACUGUGUUGCAUCUUUGUUCUCAGAAUUUCUGCAUCGGACCUCACCCCAUCAGAGGAGAAGGGGCUGUCCCUCAGGCAGGAGGGGUCACCAGUGAUGGUGUUUGUUGUGUGUAAACAGCACAAGAUUGGCAGCAGUAACACAGGAGGAUUCUGAGGGCUGGUUUCACAAAGCCAGCACCAACCAGCAGCCAAAUC